RNAcentral lists this ribosomal RNA (492 nucleotides) under uncultured bacterium. RNAcentral's name for it is "partial 16S ribosomal RNA". It matches the Rfam family "Bacterial small subunit ribosomal RNA", at positions 28 to 507 of the family's 1533-position model. The record is from RNAcentral.
GAUGAACGCUAGCUACAGGCUUAACACAUGCAAGUCGAGGGGAAACGACAUCGAAAGCUUGCUUUUGUUGGGCGUCGACCGGCGCACGGGUGAGUAACGCGUAUCCAACCUGCCCAUCACUUGGGGAUAACCUUGCGAAAGUAAGACUAAUACCCAAUGAUAUCUCUAGAAGACAUCUGAAAGAGAUUAAAGAUUUAUCGGUGAUGGAGGGGGAUGCGUCUGAUUAGCUUGUUGGCGGGGUAACGGCCCACCAAGGCAACGAUCAGUAGGGGUUCUGAGAGGAAGGUCCCCCACAUUGGAACUGAGCAACGGGCCAAACUACUACGGGAGGCAGCAGUGAGGAAUAUUGGUCAAUGGGCGAGAGCCUGAACCAGCCAAGUAGAGUGCAGGAAGACGGCCCUAUGGGUUGUAAACUGCUUUUAUAAGGGAAUAAAGUGAGAGUCGUGACUCUUUUUGUAUGUACCUUAUGAAUAAGGACCGGCUAAUUCCGUG